GAACAUCCGCUUAUUGAUAUGCUCCUCCGCUUAUUGAUAUGCUCCUCCGCUUAUUGAUAUGCUCCUCCGCUUAUAGAUAUGUUCCUCCGCUUAUWGWGAGGAYCCUCUCCUYCUCUAACUGUGAGGAGCUACGUUACCGUGGGCUCCCAACACUAAGCAACUAAGGCUUAAGGGUUGAAAUGACGCUCGAACGGUCCUGCCCACUAGAAUACUAAUGGGCGCAAUAUGCGUUCAAAGAUUCGAUGAUUCACUGAAUUCUGCAAUUCACAUUACUUAUCGCAUUUCGCUGCGUUCUUCAUCGAUGCCAGAACCAAGAGAUCCGUUGUUGAAAGUUUUAACUUAUUUAGUUAUAGGUUCAGAAUUCAAUAUCAAACAGAGUUUGGUGGGCCGCCGGCAGGCUUACCCGCACCUCCCGGGUAAGUCUUACAGGGUAAGACUACGAGGUAGGCGCGACCUGCCGAGGCAACGUUAGGUAUGUUCACAUGGGUUUGGGAGUUAUAGAACUCUUUAAUGAUCCCUCCGCAGGUUCACCUACGGAGGGA
RNAcentral lists this ribosomal RNA (542 nucleotides) under fungal sp. SNB-GSS06. RNAcentral's name for it is "partial large subunit ribosomal RNA". Lineage: Eukaryota; Fungi. The record is from RNAcentral.